This 539-nucleotide ribosomal RNA is filed under the name uncultured Geobacteraceae bacterium. Its description in RNAcentral is "partial 16S ribosomal RNA". It matches the Rfam family "Bacterial small subunit ribosomal RNA", at positions 8 to 526 of the family's 1533-position model. Lineage: Bacteria; Pseudomonadati; Thermodesulfobacteriota; Desulfuromonadia; Geobacterales; Geobacteraceae. The record is from RNAcentral.
AGAGUUUGAUCCUGGCUCAGAACGAACGCUGGCGGCGUGCUUAACACAUGCAAGUCGAACGUGAUUGAGAGCUUGCUCUCAUGAAAGUGGCGCACGGGUGAGUAACACGUGGAUAAUCUGCCUGGCGAUUCGGGAUAACACUUCGAAAGGGGUGCUAAUACCGGAUAAGCCCACGGWYUCUUYGGAGWKYGCGGGAAAAGGGGGSSWCYKUUUGKSCUYCUGUCGYYAGAUGAGUCUGCGUMCCAUUAGCUAGUUGGUAGGGUAAAGGCCUACCAAGGCUACRAUGGUUAGCUGGUCUGAGAGGAUGAUCAGCCACACUGGARCUGAGACACGGUCCAGACUCCUACGGGAGGCAGCAGUGGGGAAUUUUGCGCAAUGGGCGAAAGCCUGACGCAGCAACGCCGCGUGAGUGAUGAAGGCUUUCGGGUCGUAAAGCUCUGUCRAGGGGAAAGAAGUGUMUUGUGGCUAAUAUCCRUGAKRCUUGACGGUACCCCUAAAGGAAGCACCGGCUAACUCCGUGCCAGCAGCCGCGGUAAUAC